RNAcentral lists this ribosomal RNA (502 nucleotides) under uncultured Glomeromycotina. Its description in RNAcentral is "partial small subunit ribosomal RNA". It matches the Rfam family "Eukaryotic small subunit ribosomal RNA", at positions 591 to 1092 of the family's 1831-position model. The record is from RNAcentral. Lineage: Eukaryota; Fungi; Glomeromycota.
CCAAUAGCGUAUAUUAAAGUUGUUGCAGUUAAAAAGCUCGUAGUUGAAUUUCGGGAUUUAUCCGUCGGUCGGGCUUUUGGGUCUGUACUGGCGUGAUGAAUUCCUACCUUCUGAAUAACCGGCAUGUCAUUAAUUUGGUGCGCUGGGGAAGCAGGACUGUUACCUUGAAAAAAUUAGAGUGCUUAAAGCAGGCUAUUGCCUGAAUACAUUAGCAUGGAAUAAUGAAAUAGGACGGCAUGGUUCUAUUUUGUUGGUUUCUAGGAUCACCGUAAUGAUUAAUAGGGAUAGUUGGGGGCAUUAGUAUUCAAUUGUCAGAGGUGAAAUUCUUGGAUUUAUUGAAGACUAACUUCUGCGAAAGCAUUUGCCAAGGAUGUUUUCAUUAGUCAAGAACGAAAGUUAGGGGAUCGAAGACGAUCAGAUACCGUCGUAGUCUUAACCAUAAACUAUGCCGACUAGGGAUCGGACGAUGUUAAUUUUUUAAUGACUCGUUCGGCGCCUUACG